UACGUAGGGUGCGAGCGUUGUCCGGAAUUAUUGGGCGUAAAGAGCUCGUAGGCGGCUUGUCGCGUCGGAUGUGAAAGCCCGGGGCUUAACUUCGGGUCUGCAUUCGGUACGGGCAUGCUGGAGUUCGGUAGGGGAGACUGGAAUUCCUGGUGUAGCGGUGAAAUGCGCAGAUAUCAGGAGGAACACCGGUGGCGAAGGCGGGUCUCUGGGCCGAUACUGACGCUGAGGAGCGAAAGUGUGGGGAGCGAACAGG
Molecule: ribosomal RNA, 253 nt
Filed under: uncultured bacterium
Lineage: Bacteria
Description: partial 16S ribosomal RNA
Rfam family: Bacterial small subunit ribosomal RNA
Source: RNAcentral